GAGACUUAAAACACCUUGGAUUCUUAUAGCUACCAGAAGCAUCCUUUCCAAUAUUUUAAACUGGCUUUAUCUCUGGAACCACAAGUGAGUGGUGAGUGCUUAAAGCUCUGUGACCUACAUAGUACCCAUUAUUCUGAUCCUUGCCUUAUAUAACUGGAACCAAGGAGCUUGAAGAUAAUACAAGGGAAAAGGACAUCAAAGAUGCUAAAAGGUGCAGUGGGGGUAAUGGUGAGAAAAAUGAGAAAACACAAAGACAAUGAAAAUAUCAGGAUCUCAAUG
Molecule: long non-coding RNA, 279 nt
Organism: Hemiscyllium ocellatum (epaulette shark)
Lineage: Eukaryota; Metazoa; Chordata; Chondrichthyes; Orectolobiformes; Hemiscylliidae
Exons: 3
Source: RefSeq, a predicted model, not a curated record